This 499-nucleotide ribosomal RNA is filed under the name uncultured bacterium. Its description in RNAcentral is "partial 16S ribosomal RNA". It matches the Rfam family "Bacterial small subunit ribosomal RNA", at positions 28 to 507 of the family's 1533-position model. The record is from RNAcentral.
GACGAACGCUGGCGGCGUGCUUAACACAUGCAAGUCGAACGGGCCCGCUCUCUUUUUUGGGGGUGGGUUGAGUGGCGAACGGGUGAGUAUCACGUGAGUAACCUGCCCCCUGCUCCUGGAUAACUGCUUGAAAGGGCGGCUAAUACGGGGUGUGCCGGCUGGUCCGCAUGGGCCUGGUCGGGAUAGUUUCAUCUUCGGGUGUUUCGGUGGGGGAUGGGCUCGCGGCCUAUCAGCUUGUUGGUGGGGUGAUGGCCCACCAAGGCGGUGACGGGUAGCCGGCCUGGGAGGGUGGGCGGCCACACUGGGACUGAGACACGGCCCAGACUCCGGCGGGAGGCAGCAGUGGGGGGUAUUGCACAAUGGGCGGAAGCCUGAUGCAGCGACGUCGCGUGAGGGAUGGAGGCCUUCGGGUUGUGAACCUCUUUCUCCGGUGGUGAAGGCCCUGUCCGUUGCGGCGGGGUUGACGGUAGCCGGGUAUGAAGCGCCGGCUAACUACGUG